CACGUAGGGUGCGAGCGUUGUCCGGAAUUAUUGGGCGUAAAGAGCUCGUAGGCGGUGUGUCGCGUCGGCCGUGAAAACCUGCAGCUUAACUGUGGGCUUGCAGCUGAUACGGGCAGGCUUGAGUUCGGUAGGGGAGACUGGAAUUCCUGGUGUAGCGGUGAAAUGCGCAGAUAUCAGGAGGAACACCGGUGGCGAAGGCGGGUCUCUGGGCCGAUACUGACGCUGAGGAGCGAAAGCGUGGGGAGCGAACAGG
RNAcentral lists this ribosomal RNA (253 nucleotides) under uncultured bacterium. Its description in RNAcentral is "partial 16S ribosomal RNA". It matches the Rfam family "Bacterial small subunit ribosomal RNA", at positions 524 to 776 of the family's 1533-position model. The record is from RNAcentral.